GAUCAUGGCUCAGAGUGAACGCUGGCGGCGUGCUUAACACAUGCAAGUCGAACGGUAACAGGAACUAGCUUGCUAGUUUGCUGACGAGUGGCGCACGGGUGAGUAAUAUAUAGUUAAUGUACCCCAAAGACUGGGAUAGCCACUGGAAACGGUGAUUAAUACUAGAUACACCUCUUUAAUAUAAGUUAGAGAGGGAAAUGUUUUUUCGCUUUGGGAUCAGACUAUAUCCUAUCAGUUAGUUGGUGAGGUAAUGGCUCACCAAGGCAAUGACGGGUAGCGGUUCUGAGAGGAUGAUCCGCCACACUGGUACUGAGACACGGACCAGACUCCUACGGGAGGCAGCAGUGAGGAAUAUUGCACAAUGGGGGGAACCCUGAUGCAGCAACGCCGCGUGGAGGAUGACGCAUUUCGGUGUGUAAACUCCUUUUAUAUGUCAAGAAAAUGACGGUAGCAUAUGAAUAAGCACCGGCUAACUCCGUG
Molecule: ribosomal RNA, 480 nt
Filed under: uncultured bacterium
Lineage: Bacteria
Description: bacterial SSU rRNA
Rfam family: Bacterial small subunit ribosomal RNA
Source: RNAcentral